CCUACGGGAGGCAGCAGUGAGGAAUAUUGGUCAAUGGACGAGAGUCUGAACCAGCCAAGUAGCGUGAAGGAUGACUGCCCUAUGGGUUGUAAACUUCUUUUAUAUGGGAAUAAAAUGUUCCACGUGUGGGAUUUUGUAUGUACCAUAUGAAUAAGGAUCGGCUAACUCCGUGCCAGCAGCCGCGGUAAUACGGAGGAUCCGAGCGUUAGCCGGUUUUAUUGGGGUUAAAGGGAGCGUAGGUGGAUUGUUAAGUCAGUUGUGAAAGUUUGCGGCUCAACCGUAGUAUUGCAGUUGAAACUGGCAGUCUUGAGUACAGGAGAAGUAGGCGGAAUGCGUGGUGUAGCGGUGAAAUGCUUAGAUAUCACGAAGAACUCCGAUUGCGAAGGCAGCUCACUGGACUGCAACUGACACUGAGGCUCGAAAGUGUGGGGAUCAAACAGGAUUAGAUACCCUUGUAGUC
Molecule: ribosomal RNA, 460 nt
Filed under: uncultured bacterium
Lineage: Bacteria
Description: partial 16S ribosomal RNA
Rfam family: Bacterial small subunit ribosomal RNA
Source: RNAcentral